GUUGUAUUACUUCCGUCCCAAAAUUCUUGUCUUACAUUUAUCUAAAUACGGGUGUAUCUAACACUAAAAACAUGACUAGAUACAUCGUAUUUAGACAAAUCAAGGAUAAGAAUUUUGAGACGGAGGGAGUAUAUG
Triticum aestivum (bread wheat) is the source of this 135-nucleotide non-coding RNA. The record is from Rfam. Lineage: Eukaryota; Viridiplantae; Streptophyta; Magnoliopsida; Poales; Poaceae.